Molecule: ribosomal RNA, 254 nt
Filed under: uncultured bacterium
Lineage: Bacteria
Description: partial 16S ribosomal RNA
Rfam family: Bacterial small subunit ribosomal RNA
Source: RNAcentral
UACGUAGGGGGCAAGCGUUGUUCGGAAUUACUGGGCGUAAAGGGCGCGUAGGCGGCACGGUAAGUCGGGAGUGAAAGCCCGGGGCUCAACCCCCGGAACGUCUUUCGAAACUGCCGAGCUAGAGUGCGGAAGAGGCAACUGGAAUUCCCAGUGUAGCGGUGAAAUGCGUAGAUAUUGGGAAGAACACCUGAGGCGAAGGCGGGUUGCUGGGCCGACACUGACGCUGAGGCGCGAAAGCCAGGGGAGCGAACGGG